UACAGUUGGUAAACAGAGAAACUGUCAGUUCAAUGUGGAAGCUGUGUUGGUUCAUAAGUGAUUUUUCCUAGGUAAGAGAAGCCAGAAGAGUGGAAGCUAUACUAUGACUUUCAAGCAGGAAACGAAAAAGCCCUUAGCUCAUGCUGUGCUGGCAGGAGCCCUUUCAGCUUUAAGAAAAUUAAAGGACAUGCUGGAGGAACUGAAGGGUAAUGACAAACCCUGCAUCUUCUUUGGACAAUUUUACUUCAGCUCUUUUAUUUUGGAGCUAUUUUUUGUUGCCAUAGGGGUUAAGGAUUCACAUAAAGGAAAAAAAAAUGUCUUCUAAGCCAUUAAAGAUUUAGGGGGGAAACUGUU
Molecule: non-coding RNA, 354 nt
Organism: Equus caballus (horse)
Lineage: Eukaryota; Metazoa; Chordata; Mammalia; Perissodactyla; Equidae
Source: RefSeq, a predicted model, not a curated record